AUUGAACGCUGGCGGCAGGCCUAACACAUGCAAGUCGAACGGUAACAGGAAGCAGCUUGCUGCUUCGCUGACGAGUGGCGGACGGGUGAGUAAUGUCUGGGAAGCUGCCUGAGGGAGGGGGAUAACUACUGGAAACGGUAGCUAAUACCGCAUAAUGUCGCAAGACCAAAGAGGGGGACCUUCGGUCCUCUUGCCAUCGGAUGUGCCCAGAUGGGAGUAGCUUGUUGGUGGGGUAACUGCUCACCAAGGCGACGAUCCCUAGCUGGUCUGAGAGGGUGACUAGCCACCCUGGCACUGAGACACAGUCGCCACUCCUGCGCGGGGACACAGCGGGGACUCUUGCAGGAGGGGGGCGUGCCUGAUGCAGCCCUGCGGGGUGUAGGCAGACGCACUUAGGCUUGUAGAAUGAUUUCAGCCGGAGGGAAGGGAGUAACGUUAAUCCCUGUCCUCAUUGACGUUACCCGCAGAAGAAGCCCCGGCUAACUCCGUG
This 490-nucleotide ribosomal RNA is filed under the name uncultured bacterium. RNAcentral's name for it is "partial 16S ribosomal RNA". It matches the Rfam family "Bacterial small subunit ribosomal RNA", at positions 30 to 507 of the family's 1533-position model. The record is from RNAcentral.